GUGCUCACUUCAGCAGCACAUAUACUAAAAUUGGGACAAUACAGAGAAGAUGUGCCUGACCCAUGCUCAAGGAUGACACAUAAAUUUGUGAAGCAUUUCAUAUUUUA
RNAcentral lists this small nuclear RNA (107 nucleotides) under Castor canadensis (American beaver). Lineage: Eukaryota; Metazoa; Chordata; Mammalia; Rodentia; Castoridae. The record is from RNAcentral.